This 536-nucleotide ribosomal RNA is filed under the name Bifidobacterium pseudolongum. Its description in RNAcentral is "bacterial SSU rRNA". It matches the Rfam family "Bacterial small subunit ribosomal RNA", at positions 165 to 702 of the family's 1533-position model. The record is from RNAcentral. Lineage: Bacteria; Bacillati; Actinomycetota; Actinomycetes; Bifidobacteriales; Bifidobacteriaceae.
AAUGCCGGAUGUUCCACAUGAGCGCAUGCGAGUGUGGGAAAGGCUUUUGCGGCAUGGGAUGGGGUCGCGUCCUAUCAGCUUGUUGGUGGGGUAACGGCCUACCAAGGCGUUGACGGGUAGCCGGCCUGAGAGGGCGACCGGCCACAUUGGGACUGAGAUACGGCCCAGACUCCUACGGGAGGCAGCAGUGGGGAAUAUUGCACAAUGGGCGCAAGCCUGAUGCAGCGACGCCGCGUGCGGGAUGGAGGCCUUCGGGUUGUAAACCGCUUUUGUUCAAGGGCAAGGCACGGUCUUUGGCCGUGUUGAGUGGAUUGUUCGAAUAAGCACCGGCUAACUACGUGCCAGCAGCCGCGGUAAUACGUAGGGUGCAAGCGUUAUCCGGAUUUAUUGGGCGUAAAGGGCUCGUAGGCGGUUCGUCGCGUCCGGUGUGAAAGUCCAUCGCUUAACGGUGGAUCCGCGCCGGGUACGGGCGGGCUUGAGUGCGGUAGGGGAGACUGGAAUUCCCGGUGUAACGGUGGAAUGUGUAGAUAUCGGAA